This 327-nucleotide ribosomal RNA is filed under the name uncultured Bacillota bacterium. Its description in RNAcentral is "bacterial SSU rRNA". It matches the Rfam family "Bacterial small subunit ribosomal RNA", at positions 28 to 351 of the family's 1533-position model. Lineage: Bacteria; Bacillati; Bacillota. The record is from RNAcentral.
GACGAACGCUGGCGGCGUGCCUAACACAUGCAAGUCGAGCGGAGAUACUAAGCUUGCUUAGUAUUUUAGCGGCGGACGGGUGAGUAACGCGUGGGCAACCUGCCCUUCACAGGGGGAUAACACUGGGAAACUAGUGCUAAUACCGCAUAACACAUAUUUGUGGCAUCACAGAUAUGUCAAAGGAGUAAUCCGGUGAAGGAUGGGGCCCGCGUCCGAUUAGCUAGUUGGUGGGGUAAAGGCCUACCAAGGCGACGAUCGGUAGCCGAACUGAGAGGUUGAUCGGCCACAUUGGGACUGAGACACGGCCCAGACUCCUACGGGAGGCAG